This 299-nucleotide small RNA is filed under the name Octodon degus (degu). RNAcentral describes it as "7SK RNA (ENSODEG00000025717.1)". It matches the Rfam family "7SK RNA". From Rfam's summary of the family: 7SK was discovered as an abundant small nuclear RNA in the mid-70s but a possible function has only recently been suggested. Two independent studies have found that 7SK RNA binds the CDK9/cyclin T complex (known as elongation factor P-TEFb). P-TEFb activates transcription by phosphorylating the C-terminal domain of RNA polymerase II. The record is from RNAcentral. Lineage: Eukaryota; Metazoa; Chordata; Mammalia; Rodentia; Octodontidae.
ACAUGUGAGAGCGAUCUAGCUGCAACAUUUGUGCCUACACUUAUUAUUAUGGUCAAUCUGACUGAUCUGGCUGGUUAGGCAGGCAUCCCUCUUCCUCCCUCACCACUCUAUGUACAUCUGUCCCAAAGCUGCAAUGUUUUCAAUACUAAAAGUGUUGGGAGCCAAGGAAACUGGAAAAUUGGUUAAAUGUGUGAAAGCAGCACUAAGCCUCAGUGCCUAAAGCAGUCAAGGUACCGCAGUCUUGAGAUAAGCAUACUAAGUGGUUAAUGUCAUAUAAAAAUACUUCACUUCCCCUUUUU